Molecule: non-coding RNA, 126 nt
Filed under: Chattonella subsalsa
Lineage: Eukaryota; Raphidophyceae; Chattonellales; Chattonellaceae
Source: RNAcentral
ACAAUGAAAUAAGUUUCAAAAUUUAAAAUUCAAAAAACGGUCCAUCGAAGUGUACGUUUUUCCGAAUGCGGUCCAUUUUGUGUAUUUACCCUUUAAUUUUUUUUUAUUGUUCCAAGGUUUUUCUCU